CCUCUUGAAGAUGAUGAACUGGUGGAGUAUAUCCUCACCGGUCUUGGUGAAGAAUACGACUCUGUGGUGUCAUCUGUCCUUGGCCGAACUGAACCAAUCUCUGUUAGUGAAUUAUAUUCACAAUUACUUGCAUUUGAAA
Non-coding RNA from Zea mays, 139 nucleotides. NCBI's taxonomy places the organism in Eukaryota, Viridiplantae, Streptophyta, Magnoliopsida, Poales, Poaceae. The record is from Rfam.